GGGCCCCGCACAAGCAGCGGAGCGUGUGGUUUAAUUCGAUGCUACACGAAGAACCUUACCAGGGUUUGACAUGCAAGUGGUAGGAACCGAAAGGCGACCGACCUUCGGGAGCUUGCACAGGUGCUGCAUGGCUGUCGUCAGCUCGUGUCGUGAGAUGUUCGGUUAAGUCCGCUAACGAGCGCAACCCUCGCUGUAUGUUAUAUGUGUCAUACGGGACUGCCGGUAUCAAGCCGGAGGAAGGUGGGGAUGACGUCAAGUCAGCAUGGCCUUUAUGUCUGGGGCUACACACACGCUACAAUGGCCAGUACAAUAGGUUGCAAAACCGCGAGGUGGAGCCAAUCCUAAAAGCUGGUCUCAGUUCGGAUUGCAGGCUGCAACUCGCCUGCAUGAAGUCGGAGUUGCUAGUAACCGCGCGUCAGCUAUAGUGCGGUGAAUACGUUCCCGGGCCUU
RNAcentral lists this ribosomal RNA (450 nucleotides) under uncultured Anaerolineaceae bacterium. RNAcentral describes it as "bacterial SSU rRNA". It matches the Rfam family "Bacterial small subunit ribosomal RNA", at positions 916 to 1382 of the family's 1533-position model. Lineage: Bacteria; Bacillati; Chloroflexota; Anaerolineae; Anaerolineales; Anaerolineaceae. The record is from RNAcentral.